This 120-nucleotide ribosomal RNA is filed under the name Carassius auratus (goldfish). Lineage: Eukaryota; Metazoa; Chordata; Actinopteri; Cypriniformes; Cyprinidae. The record is from RNAcentral.
GCUUACGGCCAUACCAACCUGGCUAUGCCCGAUCUCGUCUGCUCUCGGAAGCCUAAGCAGGUUUGGGCCUGGUUAGUACUUGGAUGGGAGACCGCCUGGGAAUACCAGGUGCUGUAAGCU